AAAAAAAAAAACACACCCUGAAGACGUCACAAGAGUUAUUCAGAGUCUUCAUCCUCUGAGCAACCGUCUGAAUAUGGGAUGUGCUACAAUAAAUCACAGAAAGCAUGCUAAAAACAUUUUGGUGAUGGUAAUUUCUCAAAUCCACUUCAGAUUUCUGAAGAAGGCUUCUCUGAGGUGUAACUAUGCGGUGGGGUAGCCUUGGCUAACAGACUACAACCUGGUGGCUCAUGCAUUGCCACCAGCACUCCAGUUGGAUGGGAAAAUAACAGGCUCAGCUUCACUAAUUCAGCCUUCUUUACUCCUGCAAGAGUAAAAAGAGGGAGGAUGGAGAAUGUAAAGACAGUACAUAGUGUUAUACAUAGCCUCUCCUCCUCACAUCCUUGAUCCAGAAUGUGGAGCCGGGAUUUUUUUCUUCUGGAACAUCUGCUUGUUCUUGUGUGGGUUUCUCAUGGGUUGCAGUACGGGCAUCUGCUCCAGCAUGGAAUAGUGCCACACAGGUGUGCAUUAAUUUUAGUUGCCUUGCUCUUGGUGUGGAAACUACACCUGCUGGUUACUUGCCUAAUACCAGGUCAGAGUCCCAAAAUGCUUGAAUCUGUUACCAGGUCACAGGCUACCUCUGCGAAUGCCUUCUAUAGGUGUGAAAACAUGAUGGAGGAAAAAUAGUGUACGUUAUGGCAAAGAAUAAAAGAGAGACUGUUUCUGAUCUGCUUAAUAGUAAAGGGAUUUGUGUGCUGCUAGACCCUCAAGGAAUUUCCUUGUAAAUUUUAGUUAUCAGUGGACUUGAAUCAGUAAGAACGGGUAAAUGGAGUUCUUAAAAGUUCAAGUGUUAAACACUUUUUCCUAAUGAGGCAGUUAGCUGCUCAUGGUCUAGACUCUAGAACUCAAAAUAUGUAAAGAUUACCCUAUGUAGUUUUAAAUGAGAAAUUUGGAAGAUUACCUGUAUCUCCACACUUAAAGAUGACAUAAGGUAUAUGUCAUAGUCAAGUAUUUAGUGUGAUCUCAAAUAAUCAUUGGUGAUUAAUAUAUUAUAAUGGCAAAGGUUGUGUAACAAACGUAGUAUUUCUUUACUGGAACAAAGGUUUGUUUGAUAUAGGUAAAAUUGUUGGUAUAGCAUUCUUAAAUUUCUGCACAUUGUUUAAUGCAAUCUCACCUGCUUUUGUGCUAAAGCAAUGCUGUCAGCCUAUGUAAUGAAAGUGGUUAAAUAAAAACUAAUAUUAAAUGAGAAACAACCAUCAAACAAUCAUUGAGGUGAAAUCUUGCAAAGGAUGUCUCAGUAGGUUUUGUUGAGUCCUAGUCUGUCCUUUCACAAGCACAAAAUCUGACAAUUCUCUUCCUCGGCACUUGAAAUUCCAUCUGUAAAAGCAAUAAUGCUUGAGAACUGCUAGGUCUACUUUCGAAAUAUUGCCCAUCAUUUCACUGCUUUGUUAUUUGCUAUGAACCCAGCUAAACAGGGAUAUAGGCUGCUUUUAUCCAUUUGCUUUUAUCAUAGUUUUAUCAUCUAGAUCUUCUCUCUUCCUGGUAUUAAUGCUCUUCUCUAUUUAUAGAUAGCAAUUGUUCCAGAUAAGACUUCAUUUUGCAACAUUAGGAAAGAACAA
Meleagris gallopavo (turkey) is the source of this 1595-nucleotide non-coding RNA. NCBI's taxonomy places the organism in Eukaryota, Metazoa, Chordata, Aves, Galliformes, Phasianidae. The record is from RefSeq and is a predicted model, not a curated record.